This is a long non-coding RNA of Hordeum vulgare subsp. vulgare (domesticated barley), 617 nucleotides long. RefSeq lists it as uncharacterized. The record is from RefSeq and is a predicted model, not a curated record. The transcript is spliced from 3 exons. Lineage: Eukaryota; Viridiplantae; Streptophyta; Magnoliopsida; Poales; Poaceae.
ACUUGGUCUCCUCCUCUCUCAAUUUCCCCACCGAGCCAAUCCCCUCCAUCUCGCAUCAGCUAGCCGUCGCGCCCCUGCUGGAUCUUGUGCACGAGGAUUUGCCCGAGCCCUCUCCCCUCGAUCCAUGGCUCCUAUGCCGCGAGGCGCUCGCAGCAAUCAAAGGGGAGCAAUCCUCGCGUCUCCCUCCUGUUCCUAUUCCUCUCUCAUCUUUUUCUCUCAGCCUGAGCUCCUUUUUUUUCUGUGCCUACAGGAGCUCCACGAAGGAACCCGCCAUGGUUGCGGAAUCAUGUGGAACGAGUAGCUCCACCGCUUGCGUUCGCGAGCAGCUCAGCUGGUCCAGAAAAACUGCCCCACCAUGGUGCUCGUGAGGAGCUCGCGCCACCGCUAGGGACGUCUCUCCAGCCUCUCCUCGCCAUGGCUUCGGUCAGAUCUGCAUCGAGGCGACGCCCGCCCCACCUUGCCCGCGCCCCUGCAUCGCGGUGCUUCGCCUGCUGCUGCCUCUUGCUUCGCUGCUCUGCUUCGUCGGCUUCACGCGCGCUGGCCGCGACCACGUCGGUGGAUGGCAGCAACACCACGAGUUGCAGGUACAGGUAAAGGUUACUUGACGCGAGCGCAUU